CUAAGGCGAGGCCGACAGGCGUAGUCGAUGGAUGACGGGUUGAUAUUCCCGUACCCGUGUGCGUGCGACAAGUGAUGAAUCUUAUGGUACUAACCACCCGCCUGUUUCCGCUGGUCUUUUUGGUUGGUGGUUUCAGGUGCGUGGGAUCUUCGUGGGUAGUAGUCAAGUGAUGGGGUGACGCAGAGUGGUAGCUAGGCUUCCUUAUUGGAUUGGAGUGCAAGCGUGUGGCCUGUGGGGUUGGUAAAUCCGCCCCACAUAUAAGGGUGAGGCGUGAUGCGGACACCAUUUGUGGUGGUAGUUAGUGUGCCUGUGCUGUCUAGAAAAGCCUCUAGCGAGUGCGUGCAUGGCCCGUACCGGAAACCGACACAGGUGGUCAGGUAGAGAAUACUAAGGCGUUCGGGUGAACUGUGGUUAAGGAACUCGGCAAAAUGCCCCCGUAACUUCGGGAGAAGGGGGACCAUUACUAGUUGCUGACAGCAUGAAAGCUGGUGGUGGUCGCAGAGGAGAGAGGGAAGCGACUGUUUAUUAAAAACACAGGUCCGUGCGAAAACGUGGAAGUUGAGGUAUACGGACUGACGCCUGCCCGGUGCUGGAAGGUUAAGAGGACCCGUGAGCAUACCUAUGGUGUGCGAGGCGGAGAAUUGAAGCCCCAGUAAACGGCGGUGGUAACUAUAACCAUCCUAAGGUAGCGAAAUUCCUUGUCGGGUAAGUUCCGACCUGCACGAAUGGCGUAACGACUUCCCUGCUGUCUCAACCACAGGCCCGGUGAAAUUGCAGUACGAGUAAAGAUGCUCGUUUCGCGCGGCAGGACGAAAAGACCCCGGGACCUUUACUAUAGCUUGGUAUUGGUGUUUGGUCAUGCUUGUGUAGGAUAGGUGGGAGACUGUGAAGCUUCAACGCUAGUUGUGGUGGAGUCGUCAAGUGAAAUACCACUCUGGUGUGAUUGGGUACCUGAACCUUGGCCCGUGAUCCGGGUUGGGGACAGUGCCUGGUGGGUAGUUUAACUGGGGCGGUUGCCUCCUAAAUGGUAACGGAGGCGCCCAAAGGUUUCCUCAGUCUGGUUGGCAAUCAGAUGGUGAGUGUAAGUGUAUAAGGGAGCUUGACUGUGACACUGACGGGUGGAGCAGGUGCGAAAGCAGGGACUAGUGAUCCGGCAUCUACGUGUGGUUGUGGUGUCGCUCAACGGAUAAAAGGUACCCCGGGGAUAACAGGCUGAUCUUCCCCAAGAGUUCAUAUCGACGGGAUGGUUUGGCACCUCGAUGUCGGCUCGUCGCAUCCUGGGGCUGGAGUAGGUCCCA
Molecule: ribosomal RNA, 1298 nt
Filed under: human oral metagenome
Description: bacterial LSU rRNA
Rfam family: Bacterial large subunit ribosomal RNA
Source: RNAcentral